Molecule: non-coding RNA, 2335 nt
Organism: Delphinapterus leucas (beluga whale)
Lineage: Eukaryota; Metazoa; Chordata; Mammalia; Artiodactyla; Monodontidae
Source: RefSeq, a predicted model, not a curated record
CUUUAUAACAGCUGUAUCUGCAGCGCCUGCAACGGUGCCUGGCAAAAUAAUGCAUUUGUGCCCUCGUGAUAUUGGUUGAAUGAAUGUCGUCCUUGUGAAAAAAGAUGCUGCUGCUAGUGUUGGCUUGAGUGUCAGGAAGGCUCCGAGUUGGUCUGCUUUCCCAGGUGGGCUCACAGCCACAAUCGACCCUCCUUCCUUCAGUGACUUUCCUUUUGGUGUCGACUACCUCAGCACGCCGGCUUGAUUGUCAUAUUGCUUCCAUUUACUUACCUUCUUUAUGUGUAUUCUUUCCUAGACUGAAAAAUCAGAUCUGUUUUUGUUCUCAUUUAUAAACCCCGGUCAGUGCUUGAUGACUGCUUGUUUGUUUCAUUCUAAAGGAAACUGUUCUCCAAGAUGAGCUGAAAGGAGUGUCGGGCAUGUCAAACCUCACUUUCCUAAGUCGGCUUCUCUCCUUACACACGAGCCCCUGACCGCCUGCCUUGCCUCACUGUUGGCCAGUAGGUCCCUAAACCUUGGGCUGUAAUACUUUGACUUGAGAGUAGCUUCUGGGUCCUUGCCUCUUGUCCACAAGUCUGCUGGCUACUGAAAUGCAGUAGGCUGUGUACAGAGAGAGAAAAGGAAAGAAAUAACCAGGAAGAGAUUUUUAGGCUUUGUUGUUUAACCUGGGCUCUUAACAGAUACUUUUGAGCCAUCCAUAUAGCUGGGCGUUUUUAAAAUCAAAGCCCACCAAAACUAGGGGAUUACCGUGCCUGUCCUGGAGACGCUCGCCGAGGAACAGCUCUGUGGUCAGAGAGCUGUACCAUGGGUUAUGGCACAGAAGCUGAAGGGCUAGAGAAAUAAAGAAAUAAAGACUUUGUUGGGUUGAGUUAGAGACGACUUCCGGGGGUGGGGCUGAGAGGAGGCUUUGUUCUGCUUCAACCUUCGAGCACUGGGGCAGAUGGGUGUAAGGGGGGAGCAUGCACGCACGGGGGACUGGCAGAGGGAACACUUCGGUACUGUGGUCCUGGUGCCCCGCCUCUUUGCCUCUUGGCACCCCUUGUACUCCUUUUUCUAUCAGUGAGUGACAAGCUAUUGCCCAUCACACAAACUGUUUAUGAAGUAGUAAUUAGCUUUCCUGUGUUUUAUUAAUCACAUCUAUGACUGCCAAUCUGAGCUUCUGAUUAGCGUGAGAUAACGGGUACACCCAUACUGAGUUUCUGUAAUUCUAGCCCAGAGCAAAGAAACUGGAUGUCUCUGUCAGCCUGUGCAGCCUUAUCGGGGUAAAUUCCUGUCUGGCCUACUGAAAUGCUGAAAGCGCUUCAAGAUCUUCAUCCACAGCCCUCGUGGACCCUCGACGGGCCUUAGUGUGGGAAGGAGUUCCAUCUGGGAGACUGGGAGGCUGGUACAGCUGGGAUAAAGGUCUGUGGGAGGUUAGGAGAAUAGGGGCUAGCUACAUCUUUGCAUUUGUUGUAAUUCGGUGGUUUUGGGGGCCGAGCAUAAGAAUUUCUAUUCUUAGCAUGUCUAAAGCAACGCUGACAUGGGUUUCAUACCCACAAAUUCUCGAGUAUUUGUAUCGCUGUAAUUCUUGUAUCAGCUAGAAUAUUUAUUUUCACUUUUCCUCCUGUGUGAUUCUUAGCUUGGUGUAAAAAUUGCCAAAGCGAUUGCCUGCCACAACUUUGUAAAAGCCAAAAAGGAUGCUGAAAAUUCACAGGUUGCUCGAAAAAAGAAGAAACUUGCCUGGGGGUUUGAAGCAAAGAAGAGGUGGGAAACCAAAAGCAACAUGGGAUAUAUGUGACUUGCCAGAGUUCUUCAAGACCUUUGGGACUUCACUUGAGUCUUCAGUUGCUUAAUUUACUGAAAAGAUUUUCCUGUUCAUGUUAACUAUGUUGGGAAAUUGAUGGAAAUAGAAAAAAAUAAGCAUAAAAUUUGGAAGUUGAUUAUCAAAUCUUUUUUCAGUCUUUUUCUAAAGAGCUCAUCCUGCUGAAGUGAAUGAAAUGGAGCAUUCUGUUAUUUGUACAAGAAAUCUAAGCAUACAUACAGGAAAAAAAAAAGAUAGGAUUUUAUUUAUUUAUUUAUAUAGACCUCCAGUAUAAAAUCAAUUUUACUUUUCAUCCACUUGGUGUAGCAUAGCCAAUGAGCUCCUUGUACUUUCUUAUCUGUACUCGGUGUAACUGCACUUAUUCUGGAGCUGUGUUUUUAAGAUUGGCAUUUGUUUAUAAUGGAUUAGUCAUAAGCGCAAGAAAGAUACUGUCUUCACAAAUGACUUUAUCUUAAUGUUAUAAAAGUAAUUAUUGGUUCUUUAUUGGAGACAGUAGAGUUGAUAUUUCACAGUCACAUAAUAAAAGCAAUUGAUUAA